ACGGGUUGGCGGGGAGUGGGGGAGGUGGAGGGCAUGAACAAAAGAUUCACGAGUGAAAAUAGUACAACUUGUUUUAUGUCCAUCUUAGGGAUUUGCAUCCAGUAAAAAUUGUAUCCUCGCACUAGAAUACUAACUUUUGCUCUUUUUUUUUUGCUUGGUACAGUAUACAGUUGUGCUUUCAACUAUAAUCGAGUUAUGGAGACAUCGCAUGGGAUGUUCUUGUAUAGGCAUUUUUUAAAACUGUGCUUUUAUGUAUAAGUCACAUUUUUAAACUAGAUCAAACAAAGGAAGCAAACAAAUGGACACAUACAAAUACACCUCAAAAGUGAAAUCAAA
This 336-nucleotide long non-coding RNA is filed under the name Setaria viridis. RNAcentral describes it as "long non-coding RNA (SVIR_LNC002680)". The record is from RNAcentral. Lineage: Eukaryota; Viridiplantae; Streptophyta; Magnoliopsida; Poales; Poaceae.